Molecule: ribosomal RNA, 253 nt
Filed under: uncultured bacterium
Lineage: Bacteria
Description: partial 16S ribosomal RNA
Rfam family: Bacterial small subunit ribosomal RNA
Source: RNAcentral
CACGUAGGGCGCAAGCGUUGUCCGGAAUUAUUGGGCGUAAAGAGCUCGUAGGCGGUCUGUUACGUCUGCUGUGAAAACCCAGGGCUUAACCCUGGGCUUGCAGUGGAUACGGGCAGACUAGAGGCAGGUAGGGGAGAAUGGAAUUCCCGGUGUAGCGGUGAAAUGCGCAGAUAUCGGGAAGAACACCCGUGGCGAAGGCGGCUCUCUGGGACGGUACUGACGCUGAGACGCGAAAGCGUGGGGAGCGAACAGG